This 497-nucleotide ribosomal RNA is filed under the name uncultured bacterium. RNAcentral describes it as "partial 16S ribosomal RNA". It matches the Rfam family "Bacterial small subunit ribosomal RNA", at positions 28 to 507 of the family's 1533-position model. The record is from RNAcentral.
GAUGAACGCUGGCGGCAUGCCUAAUACAUGCAAGUCGAGCGAACACACGAUAAGCUUUCGCCUCUACCGUUGGCGGCGGACGGGUGGGUAACACGUACAUAACCUACCUAUUUUACGUGGGUAACUUCGUGAAGCCACUUCCACUACCAGCUAAUAUAUCCUACGGCUUGGAUCAAUAGUUCUUGGCGGCUUGCCCGAUUCAUUUAGACGGAGUCGUGUCGCAUUAGCUAGUUGGUAAGGUAACGGCUUACCAAGGCAACGAUGCGUAGCCGAUCUGAGAGGGUGAUCGGCCACACUGGAACUGAGACACGGUCCAGACUCCUACGGGAGGCAGCAGUAGGGAAUAUUGGGCAAUGGGCGAAAGCCUGACCGAGCAACGCCGCGUGAGUGAUGAAGGUCUUCGGAUUGUAAAGCUCUGUUAUUAGGAAAGAAAAGCAGCAUGAGAAAAUAUGGCCGUUUUGACGGUACCUAAUCAGAAAGCAACGGCUAACUACGUG